AUACGUAGGUGGCAAGCGUUGCCCGGAAUUACUGGGUGUAAAGGGUGCGUAGGCGGGGAUGCCAGUCAGAUGUGAAAUCUAUCGGCUCAACUGGUAAACUGCAUUUGAAACUGCAUUUUUUGAGUGGUGGCGAGGCAAGCGGAAUUACUAGGGUAGCGGUGAAAUGCGUAGAUAUUAGGAGGAACACCAGUGGCGAAGGCGGCUUACUGGACACUAACUGACGCUGAGGCACGAAAGCAUGGGGAGCAAACAGGAUGAGAUACCCUGGUAGUCCAUGCCGUAAACGAUGAUUACUAGGUGUAGGGGGUAUCGACCCCUUCUGUGCCGGAGUUAACACAAUAAGGAAUCCACCUGGGGAGUACGGCCGCAAGGUUGAAACUCAAAUGAAUUGACGGGG
Molecule: ribosomal RNA, 397 nt
Filed under: uncultured bacterium
Lineage: Bacteria
Description: partial 16S ribosomal RNA
Rfam family: Bacterial small subunit ribosomal RNA
Source: RNAcentral